CAGAAAUCCACCUGCCUCUU
RNAcentral lists this non-coding RNA (20 nucleotides) under Mus musculus (house mouse). The record is from RNAcentral. Lineage: Eukaryota; Metazoa; Chordata; Mammalia; Rodentia; Muridae.